UAAUCAAUGAAUAAGAACUAUUGUCUUUCGCUCCUAUCUGAUGUGUCGGCUUCUAUGACCUCCAAUGUCUCCUCAAAUGGGAUUUGGUUUUAAUUGAAUUUCUUGUUUAUUUUCAGAAACCUCUCUGGCUACAGAAUGCUAUGACAUGUGACUUCUCCGCCGACUAAAUUUCCAGCCUUGUUGAUCUAAUGGGAUCUUGGGCAGUUGGGUGCAGAAGAUGUCACACAAACAAUGUUCUGAUCGCUCUCUGAGAUCCGACUGAACGGCCAAGACGAGGUUGACUGAGGUGAGAAUUCAGAGAAUUGCAAAAUGGCUUUUGCUGGUUCAGUGAUGUCUUUAACAAAUGUCUGACCUGAACUUGUAAUGUGGACAACAUUGUUGCUGAGUAACCUGCAAACUUGAAGCUUAAUAGACCAAUCACUGACUUGUAAUAAGGGUAUUUCUGUCUCUUCUCCAGGAAAAGGCUGCAUCUCUUGGGCUGACCUUGGUAAGUAUUUCAAAGUCUAUGACAAAGUGCCAAUGUUGGUUUGAUAGAAA
This is a long non-coding RNA of Hippoglossus stenolepis (Pacific halibut), 537 nucleotides long. RefSeq lists it as uncharacterized. The record is from RefSeq and is a predicted model, not a curated record. The transcript has 4 exons. NCBI's taxonomy places the organism in Eukaryota, Metazoa, Chordata, Actinopteri, Pleuronectiformes, Pleuronectidae.